GACGAACGCUGGCGGCGUGCCUAACACAUGCAAGUCGAACGAGGUCCAUGCAGUGGCAACACUGCGGAAGACCUAGUGGCGAACGGGUGAGUAACACGUGAGGAACUUGCCCCGGAGACCGGGAUAAGCCCCCGAAAGGGGGUCUAAUACCGGAUGUCCUCACCGAGUCGCAUGGCUUGGUGAGGAAAUGGAUUCCGCUCCGGGAGAGCCUCGCGGCCUAUCAGCUAGUUGGUGGGGUAACGGCCCACCAAGGCGUCGACGGGUAGCUGGUCUGAGAGGACGAUCAGCCACACUGGGACUGAGACACGGCCCAGACUCCUACGGGAGGCAGCAGUGGGGAAUCUUGCGCAAUGGGCGAAAGCCUGACGCAGCAACGCCGCGUGCGGGAUGACGGCCCUCGGGUUGUAAACCGCUUUCAGUGGGGACGAACCAAGACGGUACCCACAGAAG
This 450-nucleotide ribosomal RNA is filed under the name uncultured bacterium. RNAcentral's name for it is "bacterial SSU rRNA". It matches the Rfam family "Bacterial small subunit ribosomal RNA", at positions 28 to 487 of the family's 1533-position model. The record is from RNAcentral.